Molecule: unclassified non-coding RNA, 329 nt
Filed under: soil metagenome
Description: partial contains 5.8S ribosomal RNA, internal transcribed spacer 2, and large subunit ribosomal RNA
Rfam family: 5.8S ribosomal RNA (bases 1-120)
Source: RNAcentral
GAUGAAGAACGCAGCGAAAUGCGAUAAGUAGUGUGAAUUGCAGAAUUCAGUGAAUCAUCGAAUCUUUGAACGCACACUGCGCCCCUUGGUAUCCCGAGGGGCAUGCCUGUUCGAGCGUCAUUUCACCACUCAAGCCUGGCUUGGUGUUGGGCGACGUCCUCUUUGGGGACGCGCCUCGAAACGCUCGGCGGCGUGGCACCGGCUUUAAGCGUAGCAGAAUCUUUCGCUUUGGAAGUCGGGGCCCCGUCUGCCGGAAGACCUGCUCGCAAGGUUGACCUCGGAUCAGGCAGGGAUACCCGCUGAACUUAAGCAUAUCAAUAAGCGGAGGA